AUACGGAGGGGGCUAGCGUUGUUCGGAAUUACUGGGCGUAAAGCGCACGUAGGCGGCUUUGCAAGUUAGAGGUGAAAGCCCGGGGCUCAACUCCGGAAUUGCCUUUAAGACUGCAUCGCUAGAACACGGGAGAGGUGAGUGGAAUUCCGAGUGUAGAGGUGAAAUUCGUAGAUAUUCGGAAGAACACCAGUGGCGAAGGCGGCUCACUGGACCGUUGUUGACGCUGAGGUGCGAAAGCGUGGGGAGCAAACAG
This 253-nucleotide ribosomal RNA is filed under the name uncultured prokaryote. Its description in RNAcentral is "partial 16S ribosomal RNA". It matches the Rfam family "Bacterial small subunit ribosomal RNA", at positions 523 to 775 of the family's 1533-position model. The record is from RNAcentral.